CCUACGGGAGGCAGCAGUAGGGAAUCUUCCACAAUGGGCGAAAGCCUGAUGGAGCAACGCCGCGUGGGUGAAGAAGGUCUUCGGAUCGUAAAACCCUGUUGUUAGAGAAGAAAGUGCGUGAGAGUAACUGUUCACGUUUCGACGGUAUCUAACCAGAAAGCCACGGCUAACUACGUGCCAGCAGCCGCGGGAAUACGUAGGUGGCAAGCGUUAUCCGGAUUUAUUGGGCGUAAAGGGAACGAAGACGGUCUUUUAAGUCUGAUGUGAAAGCCUUCGGCUUAACCGGAGUAGUGCAUUGGAAACUGGGAGACUUGAGUGCAGAAGAGGAGGGUGGAACUCCAUGUGUAGCGGUGAAAUGCGUAGAUAUAAGGAAGAACCCCAGUGGCGAAGGCAGCUCUCUGAUCUGUAACUGACGCUGAGGUUCGAAAGCGUGGGUAGCAAACAGGAUUAGAUACCCCAGUAGUC
This 465-nucleotide ribosomal RNA is filed under the name uncultured bacterium. Its description in RNAcentral is "partial 16S ribosomal RNA". It matches the Rfam family "Bacterial small subunit ribosomal RNA", at positions 338 to 795 of the family's 1533-position model. The record is from RNAcentral.